CACAAUCACACUCAACCAAGCCUCAGAAACAAUCACACACAGUCACCACCUACUCACGUGCAUUGCUUGCAGAGGAGCCAGGAAGGCCAAAAAAGAAUUCCUUGAUUAUUUCCCCCGGGGCCCAGUGUUUUCUAAUUACACCCCUACAUCACAAAUUAAUGAAUAACCCUAUGUAUAUUCCUGCUAUGCAUGACCCGGCCUCUGCCUUUCGUGGAGAAAUGAGACAAUCUCCAUGGAACAGAUCAUCCAACACUACCAUUGUUGAAGAUAAAAUACACAAAUUUAGCCAUACUAGAUAGAUAGAUAAAAAGGUUAUUCUAGCAUAAAAGUGUAAAAUUGGUAAUUCCUAGCUGAUUUGGGAUUUUAAAGUGUUUUCAAUCAGAAGUUUAGAAAUCUUAAUUUGAAUAUGUAAAAGUGAAAUGUAAACUAUUGUUUUUGACUUGUCACAAGUUGUCACCCGUUUGCACAUUGUAGGCCACGCACUGUCCUGAAGGUGUUUCCUACAGUAGGUGGAUGGACGCAGAAUGAUGUCACAGCGUAAUAGGGUAACAUUUAAUAGAAUUUUAGCCUUGAUCGCGGUCUUACCUUAUAAGUUUAUCUAAAUGGAAGUCCAGCUGCAAAAUGCUGUGUUGUUUAGGAA
Molecule: non-coding RNA, 640 nt
Organism: Pelobates cultripes (western spadefoot toad)
Lineage: Eukaryota; Metazoa; Chordata; Amphibia; Anura; Pelobatidae
Source: the annotation of a GenBank genome assembly